UCCUGUCUGAAUAUGGGGGGACCAUCCUCCAAGGCUAAAUACUCCUGACUGACCGAUAGUGAACCAGUACCGUGAGGGAAAGGCGAAAAGAACCCCGGCGAGGGGAGUGAAAAAGAACCUGAAACCGUGUACGUACAAGCAGUGGGAGCACAGGUUUACCUGUGUGACUGCGUACCUUUUGUAUAAUGGGUCAGCGACUUAUAUUCUGUAGCAAGGUUAACCGAAUAGGGGAGCCGCAGGGAAACCGAGUCUUAACCGGGCGUUAAGUUGCAGGGUAUAGACCCGAAACCCGGUGAUCUAGCCAUGGGCAGGUUGAAGGUUGGGUAACACUAACUGGAGGACCGAACCGACUAAUGUUGAAAAAUUAGCGGAUGACCUGUGGCUGGGGGUGAAAGGCCAAUCAAACCGGGAGAUAGCUGGUUCUCCCCGAAAGCUAUUUAGGUAGCGCCUCGUGAACUCAUCUCCGGGGGUAGAGCACUGUUUCGGCUAGGGGGUCAUCCCGACUUACCAACCCGAUGCAAACUGCGAAUACCGGAGAAUGUUAUCACGGGAGACACACGGCGGGUGCUAACGUCCGUCGUGAAGAGGGAAACAACCCAGACCGCCAGCUAAGGUCCCAAAGUCAUGGUUAAGUGGGAAACGAUGUGGGAAGGCCCAGACAGCCAGGAUGUUGGCUUAGAAGCAGCCAUCAUUUAAAGAAAGCGUAAUAGCUCACUGGUCGAGUCGGCCUGCGCGGAAGAUGUAACGGGGCUAAACCAUGCACCGAAGCUGCGGCAGCGAC
This 781-nucleotide ribosomal RNA is filed under the name Salmonella enterica subsp. enterica serovar Legon. RNAcentral describes it as "bacterial LSU rRNA". It matches the Rfam family "Bacterial large subunit ribosomal RNA", at positions 432 to 1212 of the family's 2925-position model. Lineage: Bacteria; Pseudomonadati; Pseudomonadota; Gammaproteobacteria; Enterobacterales; Enterobacteriaceae. The record is from RNAcentral.